GCAUCGGUGGUGCAGAGGAUAGAGCACGCUCUCCGGGGUAGGGUGAAAUGCAGGUUCGAGUCCCGCCCGACGCA
Molecule: non-coding RNA, 74 nt
Organism: Parelaphostrongylus tenuis
Lineage: Eukaryota; Metazoa; Nematoda; Chromadorea; Rhabditida; Metastrongylidae
Source: the annotation of a GenBank genome assembly